ACCAUGCCUGGCCUAGGCGCUGCUUUCAAACCAGGGUUCCGUGGCUUGAGGAAAGGGGGGCCAGUGAGGAAGCAGUGGCCGCCGAGAGUGGUCCUGGGUUCCCCUUCCAUGGGCAGUAACUCAUUCCCACUUGGGCCCGAGUUCCUGCCUGUCCUGGGUCCUCAAGGUACUGCCUGCCCAGGACUGUCCAAGCUCCCACUUCAAGCCCACUUCUCUGGAUUCUGGCCGUGGCGCUGCUUCUGCAGAUGGGGCUGGGAGGAGGGAGUUAAGAGUGUCUGAAGCUCUAACCCCCACAAUCCUACCUCAAGUCUGUAAAGGGCAGGCUCCACAGAAGAUCAGGUGAAACUUGGCGUAAACUCCUAGCUUUGGUCAAGCGUCCCUUUGCCUGGCUUGUCCCUGUGGAUGGUGUGGUCUCUCUGGGGUCCCUGGGGUCCUCUGGACACUGAGGCAGGGCAGAACGUAGAGAUCUGAGACCCUCUUCCACCUUAACAUGCCCUUGGGGUGGAUUUAACGUUCCACUUUAAUGUUUCUCUGUGCCUCAUUUCCUCCUUUGUGAGAGGGAAAUCUUCUCACUCCCCACCUCAAAGGGUUAUUGCAUCAAAUGAGGUGCUGCAUGGAGUGCUCAGACCACCUGGCACCUCAAAGGGUUGUUGCAGGCAUCAAAGGAGGUGUUGCAUGAAGGGCUCAGAGCCCGCCUGGUGCAGAGAAGGGGUACCUGAAUGUGAGCACCCAUGACUGCUGGGGCCGUUACGUUGCUACUGUAGUUGGGGUGAGGAAGUGCCCUGCCACAGGACACUGUCACCACCAACGAGGCCGCUGGAGAGGCCGCUGUCCCCUUCCUCCUCCUCCUGCUUUUCCCAGGCCUUGGCUCUGACGUGGUCACCUCUGGGGCCCUUCCGUUCCCCAAGCCUCUCUCCCCAGCUGGACUGUGGGGGUAGAAGGUGGGUCGGCCGUCCUCUGCGCUUCCGGCCCUGUUGUUCCUGGGCUCCCCCCUUUCACUGGGUCGCCUCUGCUGGCAUCCUUGGCCUUAGACCCUCCCCAGCACCCCAGGGGGCUGCCCAAGGUGGCCUGGAUCUUCCCGUCAAGUUCAAAGCGUUGACAGGAUGCUCAGGGCCCACUGCCUUCAUCAGCCCCCACCGGCAACAGUAGCCUUAUUGCUAUUUUAAAUAAUUUUUACUAAGCGGCUCUAACUGGCUGCCCAUAAAAUAAUGAAAGGAAAAGUAUUCUCAUUAAAGAGGAGUUUAUUUGGAUUAUAAACUCGGGUCUGCUAAUUGUGGCCUAAUGCUAGGAUCCCAGUGAGGCUGUCUGUCGUGGCUGAUGGAGAGGCAGUGGCGGUGAACGCUCACCCUGGCUCCGACUGGGUGCAAGGAGGGGGCGCUCUUAAGGGCACUGGGGCGGGGCCUUGGUGUGGAAACACGAGGGGCUGUGUGUGCUCUCUCAGGAAGCAGCCGCUCUGUGAGGCUGGGAACGGGCCCAGAACCACAGUGAGGAGGUGGGGGUGCUGGGGCUGGCCUGGGCCGGGAACUCCCCAGGGCUGUCUCGCCCUCAUGCCCAAGGUGUGUGUGGCAGGCCCAGCCUGGGGAGCCACGGCGAUGACUCUUAGUGCGAUGAAUGAUGAGCCCCACCCAGGUCCUCUCCUCUGGGAGGCAGGGCAACAUGGGAGCUUCUGCAGGUCUGCGGGGCCAGAGGUGAGGCCAGGUGCAGGGCUCAGUUCUCCACACAGCAGCUGUGCCAGCCCCCCUGAGCCCCAGUUCCUUCUUCUACAAAUUCAAAUAAAAAUAUUGAUCUCAUGGGGCCCUUGUGUGGGUUAAGGGCCAAAUCCAAUGCCUGGCAAACAGCAGGCAGUUAAUAACUGGCCCUUUCAUGAUAGGUAGUGGCAGUUCCCAGGCCUUCAUUCGUGAGGAGGUUGUAGAGCCUGUCUCGGAACAGACGAGACUCCAGGUGAGUCCUUGCACUCUGGGUCUUGUUCCAGCGGAGGCUGCGGACAGGAAAGGGGCAGCAGGUGAAUGGUCAGAAUGAUUUCAUGUCAUUGUAGGGACAGAAGGGAGUCAGGGGACCGAGGGCUAUUUUGAGGGCUCGGAGAGAGAACUCUAAGGAGAUAGCCCUGAAUCUGAGACCCCAAAGAGGUAUGGUUGCCACCACCCUGUUCCUCUGCUUGGGUCAUCCCUGCUGACCACUGGAGAGAGCUUGGGGUGAGGCCCUUGACGUAUUCUGGCCCUCUGGCCCCUCCCCUGUGGCAGGCUAACUCUACCUGGUAUCUGUGACAGGUCUUAGGAAGGAGAAAGUUUUCUUUGUCUCCUCCAGGAGGGGGGAUCACAUCUUUGCCUUGUGGGAUUCUGGGCCGAGGAAUUUUCCUGCCCCUCAGCCAAUGGCAGAUGGCCUCCGUUCCUCCCCUUUCCCCAGUCAGUGGUUUCUUACCUUGUCUUGAGAAUGGGAAGGGCACUCUUGAUUCUCGUGCGCAGAGGCCUGGGGAGGCGACUGCAUUUUGUGCUCGUCCUCUCCAGCUGUCCAUCACUGGGCUGCACCAUCGAGGUGGCUCCCCUCGGCCCCGCCCUUCUUGCUGGCACCCAGGCGGGGAAGAGCUUAUGACUGAGCGCAGGCACCAUCUGCAUCUGGAGUGCCCAGCAGUUCUGCAGGGAUCCUGCAGGCCACAUGCAGCCUUUGGUGGAUUUCUCCCCAUCCCAUCCUAGGGUGGCCACAGCUUCCUCCCAGGCUCUGCCAAAGGUGGGAUGGUUGAUUCUCAUUUUCUAGAACAGUCAUAGUGGAAAAGACUUGUCAUCUUUUCUUUCCUUUGAGAGCUGUGAAGGCUUUGUUGGUGCUCCAACUUGUCAGGCAGUUUGCAAGUGUUUGAUGUGAGUUCCUGAAAAUAGAGUUUAUUCGUUAGGUACUGUAUUCUAUAUAUAUUUCUUAGUUCCAUUUUGUUAUUCAUGUUCUUCAGAUUUCCUCUAUCUUGACUGAUUUUAUUUUUCUGCUUGUUCUCUCAGUUACUAAGACAUGUAUUAACGUAUCCCAAUUGACUGUGGGUUUGUUUAUCUCUCCUUGUAGUUCUAUCAAUUUUUGUUUUAAAUUUUUGAGCAUCUGUUACUAGUGCACAUAAAUUUAUAUUUUUAAAACCUUCUCGAUGCAUUGAAAACUUUAUUAUGAAAUGUUCUUUUUUAUGCCCCCAAAAUGUAUUUUAUCUAAUAUCAACAUAGUUACACAGCUAAAAGAAAAACCAACUUUGGUAGGUGUUUACGUUUUAUAUAUAUGUGUGUGCGUUUUUCCCUUUACCUUUGUCACAAUGUCAUAGAUAUGUCUUUUGUCAACAGCGUAUAGUUGACUCUUUAUUUUUUUUAAAUGCAGCAGUCUUCAUAUUUAACUGGAGAGGUGAGUGCUUAUGCAUUUGAUGUAAUGACUUGAUGUCGUGAAUGACCAUUUGGGUUUAAAUAUAUGAAGUGUUUCCUAUUUGUCUCAAUUUUCCCUUUUUUGUUUUCGCUUUCUAUCCCAUAUUGCAUUUCAUGGGUUAUCUAUUUUAUUAUUUACCACCAUUAACUUCAAAGUUUUAGACUAUUUGAAUAUUCUUUUAGUGGUUGCCCUGAAUAUUGCAAUAAGCAUUCUUGGCUUAUUAAAGUUUAGUAUUUUUUGUUAUUUUACCCUCUUUCUGGACAAUUAAGGGCUUAAAAACACAUAAGGUCCAUUUAUCACAUUCCUUCUUGUAUAGCAUUGCUGUUGUAUAUUUUAAUUCUCUAUUUUAAGCCCAAUGAGGCAUUAUUUUCACACACACACACACACACACACACACAAACUCUUUUUGUUCCUUAUAUAUUUUGCAUCUCUUACCUUUCACCUGAGAUCAUUUUUGUUCUGCCUAUAGAACAAUCUUUAGUAUUUCCUUUAGUGUGAUCUAUUGGUGAUAAAUUCUUUGUUUUGUUUGUAUGAAAAUUCUUUUUAUUUAACCUUAAUUUUAAAAGAAUAUUUUCACUGGAUAUAACAUUCUUGGUUGGCACUUAUUUCCUUUUCAGCACUUGAUAUCAUUCAUUGUGUUUUAGUUUUUAUUGUUGCUGUUGAGAAGUAGCUGUUAUUUUAAUAGUUGCUCUUUGAAGGUAAUGUGUCUUUUUCUCUAAUUAAAAAAAAAAUCCUCUUUGCUUAUGGUUAUCAGCAGUUUUGCUCUGAUAUAGCUUGGUGAGGAUUUUCUUUUAUUUAUUUAUUUGUUUGCAUUUUGAUAGGGGUUAUAAGAUUCCUUGCUUCUGUACUUGAAGUCUUUCAUCAGCUUUAAAAAUUUCUCAGCCAUUAACUUUUCAAAUUUUCUUUCUGACCUACCUAGUCUCCCAGCUCCUUUUGGGACUGCAAUUACAAGGAUCUUAAACCUGUUCCUUAUGUUCUAUUUCAUACCCAUUCUUCUAUGUUUUCCGUCAUGUUGUAGCUCUAUUUUUUUUAUUCCAGACAUUUUAUUUUGACUUUCUAUUUCAUUGAUUUUCUCUUCAGCUAUGUCUAAUCUGCUUUUAAAUCCAUCCACUUAAUUUUAUUUUGCUAAUUUGAUUUUUCAGUAUUACAGUUUCCACUUAAAAAAGGAAUUUUCAUUUAUGUACUGAAAUUUCUAAUUUUUCCUUUAUCUCCUUGAACAUUAUAAACAUAGUUAUUUAGAAGUAUGUGUUGAUGACUCCAAUAGCUAGAGUCCCUGUGAUUACUUCUAUUGUCUGUUGUUUCUGCUGGUUUCAUUCAUAUCGUUUUGACUCCAUGUAUGCAUGGUUAUUGUGCCUGAUGUUGUGUUUUAAAAGUUGUUUGGAAGACUAAAUUAAGCCUUACAAUGAUACUAUCUUCUUUCAGAGAUGACUUACAUUUCUUUCCAUUGCUUUUUAGCACUUGAGGUCUAAAUCAUCUCAACUCAACCCCAGGUGUUGAGAUGAUAAGAUGUCACUUCCAUUUCCUGGGAAGGUUUGUCUGCUCUAGUCCCUCACCACUCCUCACAUUCAGCCCUUUGGUGUCUCAACUAAAAUGAGGGGGCCUCACUGGGGCCUUCCCUGUUGUCUGGGACCCCACAUGGCUGUGAAAGCACUGCUGUAUUUUGGCCUCUCUAUUGAUCCCCAUGGCAUCAGCACAGUGCCCCCAGGAGUAAAGCAGCCACACAUGGGAAGGCUUGGCCCCAUUUUCCUGUGAUUCUGGCCUGUACAUUUUUCACUAUCUUAUUAGUUCUGUAACAAUUUUUAAGAAGAUAUUUUUGCCUAGAUAUUUUAAUUGUGUUCAGUUGGAGAACUGGUCAUAAUUGCCUAGUCUGUCCUUACCAGAAGAGGAAAUCCUGACUUAACUUGCACCUUCACUUUGAACUAUUUAAACUAUUGCCACUGGCCAGAACUUCCAGCAUCCUGCUUCCCAUGCCCUGGGCUCCACAUCCCCUAGGCUGUAAGAUCUGCUUGGACUGGCCCGACCACUCCCACUCAGGUGUCAGCAGGAAGAAGGGAGGGAUGAGGGGAUGGUGGCACAUUGUCCCUUCCCCUCCACUCGGCUCCCCACCUCCAGCCUACGUCUUGGCUAAUGAUGACAACAUAGAAGUCUGCUGAGGACCAAAUAGGGUCUCCCGAAGUUUGCAGCACUGGGGAUUCAGGAAUUAUCUGGAGAGAAGGAAUCCCUGCCCUCAUGGACCUUAUAUUUUAGUGGACAGACGGAAAGUCAACAUGCUUACAAACCAAUGCUAAAGUUCUCAUGGCGACAAGAGCUGCAAAGACAACAAAAUCAGACAAAGUCCCCGGGAAUCCAGCCAGUAGGUGAUGAGGGAGCGUGGGGCAAAGGCUGACAACAUCACUUCUGUAACUAGAGUGCAUCCCAGGAACAAGAAAAAAGACCCUUCAGCCCCGGGACCCUGGAGCUCCUGCAAGCUCUCAUCUCCUCACCCAGCAGUGUCUGCAUGCUGGAGGGAAGCAGCGCUCUUUCCAAUCCAAGUCUCCACCUGUGGCCUGGGUGGUUGGAGGCAGCAACCCAACCUCUCUGAGCCUCAUCGGGCAUAGGGAGGAUGAACUGGGGAGGCUGCAAAGGCUGGUGCUCACCUCUUCUUCCACCGCCCUGGACCAGAACUCGACCACCCAAAGGCCCUUCCCAACCAGAUUCAUAAACUAUACGGAAAUAGAAACAUUUCCAAAACCGAUGUCUGGCCCAGCAGCCUGUGGGUGUGUUCUCACCUGAUGCUUUUGACAGCUUGGCCUGGCACACAUGGUUGUCACCACCACUCUGAAGACAGACAAGCGGGGCAUAGGGUGGCGGCCUUUGCCCAUGGUAUAGGGAUCCUGAGCAUGGUUCACACCCAGGGCUCUGGCUCAUGGCCCCCCAGAGGCAGGUGGGCUGUUUUCUUCUCCAGCUGUACCUGCUGGGGCCCCGCCUGUGUGUGUGUGCAGCAUGGGCCUGUUGGAUUAGAUGGAAGAUUUUGAGGGGAUCGCUGAGCUCAGUGUAUGUAGCAGGUGCUGAGAGGCCUAGAAGAUCAUCAAGAUUCAAAGCUCUGCUCUUCAGCCAUUUUUUAAGGCUACUGGGUGCAAAAGAGAAAUGUCUCGAUAGGGAGGGGUGAAUGUUGGUGCGGGCAGUAGAGUAACAACCCCCAAGACAGCCCUGUCCUGAUCCCUAGAACCUGUGAGCAUGUUCGGUUACACGGCUUACAGGGAGUUGAGGUCACAGGUGGAAUCAGGUUACUCAUCAGCUGGCCUCGAGUGGGAGGUUCUCCUGGAUUAUCUGGGUGGGUCCAACGUAAUCACAAGCGUUUUCACAGGAGGGAGGGGUGAGAGAGACUAAACCUGCUGGGUGCUGGUUUUGAAAAUGGAAGGGGCCCCCAGGCAAGGAAGGCCGCAGCCUCCAGAAGCAAGAAAACCUCAUCGGAACCAAUUCUCCCCGAAGCCUUCAGAAGGAAGCAGCUCUGCCCACACCUUGAUUUUGGCCCAGGGAAACUCCUUAGACUUCCGGCCUCCAGAGUGCUAGGAUAAUCACUAGCCCAGAGAUGCACUGCAGAGCCAGAGAUGCUGGGAGAGGCAGCGUGGAGGAGACCACCUGAGCCAGGUGGGGGAUGGCAGCCGAGCUGGGGGCAGAGCAGGCAUCGUUCAGGUGAAUGAGGUAGGGCCCUAGGUGCCUUGGCACUGGCUGGGCAUGCAGGGGCCUGUGCACAUCUCCCUGUGGGGUCUCCUCUGCUCUGGUGGUCCUCAAUUUCCUUCACGCCAUGCUCAGAAGAACCUUCAGUCCGAGCCCCAGGUGCAGGAGGAGAGCAGUGCUCGGAGAUGCUGGGUCCACAGCGGUCCAAGGGGUGUGGGGAGGAUGGACAAGGCUGUGACUGGGGGCUCCUGCUGGGUGUCGGCCCUCUGUGCUCUCUGUGUGUUCUCAGCCUUGGUGGUCAAGAGCAGAGGUGCAGUUUGGGGAAGGGACAAGAACAGACCCUAAUGCUGUCCACCAGGAGAAGGGACUCCCAGCACAUCAAUAAAAAGCGUGCUGGGGUUGAGAGACCUCUCAGUGUCUUCCCACCACACUUAGGAUGAAGGAAAACACCCUGUCAUGGCCCUGAGACCCUGCAGGGUGUAACUGUAGCCCCAUCUCUGGCCUCCAACCCACCCCACUCCAUGUGAUCUGCCCUCAGGCAGCCUUCCCUGUGCCGGUCACGGUCCCUCCCACCACAGAGCCUUUGCACCUGCUGUGGUUCUGCUGAAUAAUUUUCCCUUUCUCCUUUGUCUGCAACUCCUCCUGGCUCCACCCAAGCACUGCUACCUCAGGCGUGCCUGCUUCUCCCUCCCUGACUUGGCCAAUCCCCGUAUCCUUCCCAGCGCCUCUCCCUCCCAGACUUCGCCAAUCCUCAUGUCCUUCCCAGUGCCCCUGCCUCGGUCACGAUUUGACAUUUGUUUGCCCGGUGAUCUGAUUGGCAUCCAUUUCCUCUGCUAGACUGUGGAGUUACCUGAGGACAAGGACCUGGCUUGCUUGUUAGUUUGACCCUUGCAUCUCUGAGCCGAGGGCAGGGACAGCGUGUGGCGCCGCAGAGUGCCCCAAGUGCCGCCUGCCCUGAGUGGUCCAUGGGAAGUGACCCUCAUGUCUUCAGAGCAACCCUGGGCAGGCGCUGUUACUAUCUCCAUUCUACAGAAGGGGAAACUGAGGCACAGUGAGGCGAGCCAGUAUGUCUAAGGCCACAGUGACAUGUCACAACUGGACUUCAAAGUCUGGGCAAGCUGGCUCUGCGUGGCGCUUUCCCAUACAGGAGCCUCCAGCCACGCAUAGCUCGUAGAGAUUAAAUGAGUGAAAAUGAAAUGAAAAUAAAAUUCAGUUUCUCAGGUGCAUGAGCCGCCUUUCGGGUGCUUGGUAUCCACGUGGGGCUUGUGUCCGCCAUAUUGGGUAGAUUUGGCUCAUUUCCAUCAAGACAGGAGGUUCUGCUGGGAGGCAUCACCUCUAGAGUUUGUGUCUACAGCUGGAUGUGGACAGCCCCCAAGCAUUUCCCAGUGGAAUGGAGAAACAGGGCUUCCAAGCACCUCAUCCCACUCUCUUCCCACACUCCACAAGGGGCUCGCCGGCCUCUCUGGAGCUCCUGGACUUGAGAGUGAGCCCCUCGCUUCAAUAUUCCCAACCUUUCUUGCUCUCUAUCCUGUAAACUGCUGACUUCGACAGCACCCGUUUCUGGCUUCAUCUUACCUUCCGCAUCACAGACAGAAACCUUUGUGUUUUUGUUUUGUACAUGGCUAGACAGGCUUUGCAGGCCACAUUUGGGCUUCGUCUCUUCUUUCUCUCCUCCUCCUUCUCCCUCGCCUUUUUCCUGUCUCUCUCCCUCUUUCUAUCGUUCUCAUUUUCCAUCUUCUCUUUCCAACCCUGUAAAGAUGUGAACACCACUCUUAGCUCAUGGGCUGUGUGUGCUGGGCAGGUCAUGGUUUGCCAAUCUCAGCUCUAGAGUUGGAAGCUCUGAUAAGUGCCUUCCUCCUCGCUGGGCAUCGCUGGAGUUUUCGUCCACUUGUCCCACCUGUUCUGUCUGGAGAGCUCCUUUCUGAUUUGAGCUGAAUUCAGGGUCCCGUUCUUCCCCGGGGGCAUAGCUCCAGGAGCGGAGGCGGCGUUCUGGAAGCACUGCCUCUGAGCACUGCCUGGGCUCUCUCCCCCGCCUCCCUGCAAUUCUGGGGCUUGGAUGUUAUUUUUUGCGUAUGCAGGUGAGGCAUCAGCUUACUCCACUGUUGUCUUUAUUGCCUGUGAUUUUGGCUGAGAAUGUUGUGUUCCUUUCAGAAUCAACAGCACACUGUCUCCGGCAGUCAGGAUCAAUGUGACCCAAAGAACACUUCGGGGGUGGGAGUGAGGGCCUAUCCCGCCCUCACAUCCCUCGUCCUGCCAAGGAGCUCUGGGGGCCUGUUUGCUCUGCUAAAACGAUUCAUUUUCCUGCAGCCGAGGCUGCCUGCCUGGCUAGGCCCCUUGUUGGUGCAGCCCUGCUGUGUUAUUGACUCCAUGUGUUCUGUUUCUUGGCCCUGUUUCCUCCCCACCAAAGGGGCCGUGAUGCACAAACACCUGCCAAUGGCCAUGGGGCCUGUGUGGUUGGCCUUCUAAGAUGUGCCUGGAACACAGGCCGGUUCCACACUCCGUGUGGAGGCUCCUCUCGUGUGUCUUCGACUGUCAUUUGCCAGUGGGUCUCAGUAACCAUCUGCCCCACAAAUGCUGCCUGUGGCCACCACCCCUGCAUCCAGGCUCUCCUCCUCCAGCUGACUUCACUGCCACCCCACUGGGGGAGCUGAGAGAAGGUGCGCAGAACCAAGAAGCCCCACCUUGUGGGCAAUGCCAGCCAAUCAGAAGAGAGCAGGCAAGGCGCCUGGUGAGAUGUCAUGGCUGAAAGUGUGGGAUGUGCAAGCAGACAGGCGGACAGAAGAACAGGUGGAUAGGUGGACAAGCAGACAGGAGGACAGGAGGUCAGGAGGAUAGGUGGACAGAAGGACAGGUAGACAGGCAGACAAGUGGACAGGUGGACAGGCAGACAGGAGGACAGACGGUCAGGAGGAUAGGUGGACAGAAGGACAGGCGGACAGGCAGACAAGUGUACGGGAGGGCAGGCAAACAGGAGGACAGGUGGACAGGAAAACAGGCAGACAGGUGGACAGGAGGACAGGUGGACAGAGAGACAGGGGGGCAGGUGAACAGGAGGACAGGUGGACAGGCAGACAGGAGGAUGGGCGGUCAGGAGGAUAGGUGGAUAGAAGGACAGGCAGACAAGUGGACAGGAGGGCAGGCAGAAAGGAGGACAGGUGGACAGGAAAACAGGUGGACAGGAGGACAGGUGAACAGGUGGACAGGCAGACAGGAGGGCAGGUGAACAGGAGGACAGGAGGAUAGGUGGACAGGCAGGCAGACAGGCACGGCCAGGGUUGCAGCUUGGUUGCUGUCUCACUAACUGUGACCUUUGACCAAGGCUAACCCUUCCAAGCCGCCUUUAUGAAAUGGAGAUAAUUAUAGCAGCUACCACAGUUAAUCCAUGGGAUACAGGGGCUUCCUGCCCUUUUCUUUCCCACCCUGUGCUGUCUGUGGCUUCCCACCUGACACUUUCCUGCUGUGGAUGCUG
Pan troglodytes (chimpanzee) is the source of this 10513-nucleotide long non-coding RNA. RefSeq lists it as uncharacterized. The transcript is spliced from 3 exons. The record is from RefSeq and is a predicted model, not a curated record. NCBI's taxonomy places the organism in Eukaryota, Metazoa, Chordata, Mammalia, Primates, Hominidae.